CAGUAGCCGCGGUAAAACGGAGGGGGCUAGCGUUGUUCGGAAUUACUGGGCGUAAAGCGCACGUAGGCGGCUUUGUAAGUUAGAGGUGAAAGCCUGGGGCUCAACUCCAGAAUUGCCUUUAAGACUGCAUCGCUUGAACGUCGGAGAGGUGAGCGGAAUUCCGAGUGUAGAGGUGAAAUUCGUAGAUAUUCGGAAGAACACCAGUGGCGAAGGCGGCUCACUGGACGACUGUUGACGCUGAGGUGCGGAAGCGUGGGGAGCAAACAGGAUUAGAUACCCCAGUAGUCCCUGUCUCUUAUAU
Molecule: ribosomal RNA, 301 nt
Filed under: uncultured bacterium
Lineage: Bacteria
Description: partial 16S ribosomal RNA
Rfam family: Bacterial small subunit ribosomal RNA
Source: RNAcentral